Molecule: long non-coding RNA, 1491 nt
Filed under: Struthio camelus australis
Lineage: Eukaryota; Metazoa; Chordata; Aves; Struthioniformes; Struthionidae
Description: lncRNA (ENSSCUG00000018103.1)
Source: RNAcentral
AGCUGAGCAGGGUCGAGGGUAGAUUCAAGCCAAAAUUACGUGCUGCUGUUGAACAAGAUUUUUGUGACAGCACAGAAUUUUGAUUCUGCUUCUGUAAAAGAAUAUGCCUUAACACCACAACUGCUUGCCAUCUUCAGGACUGAUUCUGAAGUGGAGGAAAUACAGUCAGUAGAAGCAUGAUAUGAAAAUCUCUGCUGAAAAAUAAUCUUGGCCUGAGGCUCAGGACAGGCAUCACUUAGUACUGGGCAGUGGCACGCUUAGGAUUUGAUAUGUCAUCGUGCAUCAAGACUUGGAACAGGAGGCUUUUGUACGGUAACAGUGAUUUGCAACUUCAUGGACGUGAAAGUUUGGACUCAAAAUCAUGAACUACUUUUUCUAAUCUCUGAUUGCGUUAACAACGCUGAGGUCCCAUUUGUUUUCUGCAGUCCAGUGGCAAGGAGAAAGCUAUCUGCCUGGAAGUUUGGAAUGCUGUAGUCAAUCUUACAGAGCAGCACCUUGGAAAAGAAGAGAAAAAACCAAAAAUGCUUCAAUGCCUUCCAGUAGUUUUAGAGGACUGAUGGAACCCACUAACUUCAGUUCCAGAAUCAAGGACGAAGAGAAAAAUUCCAGCAAAGACUCCAAAUGCAAAGAAUACAUACAUACAUACAUAUAUAUAUAUGAAAUACCAAAAGGGUAAGACUCAGAAUCAGCUUAGCUGCAUAAGAAUAUAGCCAUUUUGAGCUGUAAAAAUGAACAUCCGCUGAUAAGCAAAGAUUGUUGUAUUAAUUCAAAGCCUUCUAAUUUGCUUAGAUUUUUGUAGGAAUGGUGUGGCUUAAAGGGCGCUCUCCAAGUCUUGCAGUUUGCCCCAUUCCAAAGUGAAUAGUAGUUAGAACUAUCUGGAAGGGCACCACAGUUUUGUUUUGUUUUUGGUAGGUGAAGAAUGUACUUUUUCCCAGCUGUAUUCCCAGAAAUGCCUGGACUGCUCUGCUGAAAUCUGCCCCAAAACAUGCAAAGAAACAACAGAAGGCACACUUGGUACUUUUUGGCAAAGUUAUAAACAGAGAAAUUCUUCAUGCUUGCAGAGAAGAGGAUUCCCUUGCCAGAGGAAGGGGUUGGAAAUGUAUAUUAAAAAAAAAAAAGUGCCUAUGGAUUACAGGUAAAAAAUGAGUGACUAUUUUACAAAUGGAGAAACGCACAACUUGAGCUAUGGCUUUGGGUUUUUUCCCUUUUUUUCAGGAAGAAAGAGUCACUGUGUCAAAUAUAUUUUUUAACUGAUCAUCAACCAUAAAACCUCAAAUCUUCCCAAAGUUUUUUUCCUGAAACAAGAGCAACAAUAGAAAAUAAGGAGGGAGGAAGUUUUGUACCUCUUUGCAACAGUCUCCAUCAUCAAUACCUUUUCUCUUGUCAUGCCCAGGAUUGGAUUGAUGCUAUUAAAAAGAAAUUUUGGAGCCCUGUUAUUUAUAAAUGAGAAUGGUCCUGGAAAGCACAGAUGCUCUUUCAGUUACUCUUUGG